UUAGGUGACACAGGAUUCAAGUCGGCUGAUAAAAAACGAAACAACACAAAGCCAACUAAGAUGAACAUCUCACUUCGCCAGCUGAUGAAACUGAUCGCCAUUAUAAUGGUUAUGCUAGUUUGCCCAUCCAGGUCCCAAUUUUAUCGAUUUGGUCGUAGUGCUGACAAAAUUGAGAGUAACCAACUACUGACAAGAGACAUGGCUGGAGAAAAAUAACUUGAUUAGAAAUG
Long non-coding RNA from Physella acuta, 230 nucleotides. RefSeq lists it as uncharacterized. The record is from RefSeq and is a predicted model, not a curated record. Lineage: Eukaryota; Metazoa; Mollusca; Gastropoda; Physidae.